Molecule: long non-coding RNA, 2382 nt
Organism: Helianthus annuus (common sunflower)
Lineage: Eukaryota; Viridiplantae; Streptophyta; Magnoliopsida; Asterales; Asteraceae
Exons: 5
Source: RefSeq, a predicted model, not a curated record
AUGGUCCUAUGUGGAAAUAAUGUUCCAAUCCAUGACCCUCACACCCCAUAGCCUUACGUGUUCCCAGGAUUUCCCUUUUCACAAAGUUAGAUCUAGGGUUAAUGAGAGACGGUUCAGGAGAGAAGCAUUCGCCGGCCACCGAAUACACAACCCGGCGACUAUCUGGAUAUAUUGAUGAAGUGGGUGUGAGUCCAAAGAAUGAAAUAUUGAUGAAAAUUAUCAGGAGGAUCAACCAAAAGGCUAUAUUCAAACCCUAAUUUCACCAUCCUUCAAAGCUUUAUGGAGAAGAAUCAAAGAAGAACGCAACGAUCCACUCAUCUCCACUUCAUUCAAAAACGAAGGUCCACCGUAGCAAGUCGUAGAGGUUUCGUUAUUUGUUCAUGCGUGUGAGGGAGAUUCGGUUACAAAGAUGAAUAAUAAUGUUUUUCUUUCAAACGUUCUGUGGUUACACGAGUGAUGAAGAUGGCUGACAGAGUUUCUAGUGUCUCAGACUCUCAGUUGAAGGAAGUGGUGUUACUGUUGAGGGAUCAGCUUCUUUCCCAGAAGAGGCUGAUACAGCUCCUGUUGCUGACACAAAGGAUUGAAAAUCAAUCAUCAAAUGGAAUAUGGAUAUGAGUAAUGGGAUACCUACUCAGGGUGCACGUGGCGCUGUCAGUGACGUUGCCAUGGAAUCUGGUCAUUGGAGGGCUCAACUGCAACGUCAAAGGAUCGUGAACAAGUCAUACGUACUUAUAGUAUUUUUUUGUUUACAAAAUUUGGUUAUGCUAACUUGCUUACUUUUGCCUUUCAAGCUGCAUCAGCUUGGCCAAUUGAAACAGGUUAUCUCCACUCUCUGUUACUCACUGUUAAGGAUAAUCGUAUAAUAAACUCACUGUUACAUUUGUUCACAUUUAAGGAUAAUCGUAUAAUAAACUCACUGUUACAUUUGUGUAACCUUGAUAAAAAUGUAUUCACUGUACCAAUUUGCUUCUUCUUGACUGGCCUUCAACCGCGUUAACCCCACCCGAUCCCUCUUUAGUAAUUUGAGGAGCCCCGCUACUUAGAAUUUCCCUUUUAUCAAUACCCUUCAAUAUAAACUGCCAACAAAAUAGCAUGAUUUUAGUACAAUAACAAGUUUGAAAAAACUAAUUACUAUUUACCCUUACCAAUUCUUCUGGAAUAGGUGAAGUAAGUGCAAGUGGCUCGAGGUUUCAAACCGUGAAACCGUCCAAACCGGUCAUCGGUUUGACUUCGCGGUCGGUUUUUUACAUCUAACUUUCGGUUAGUCGGUUUCAACAAUUUCAAACCACAAUGAACGGUUUGGUUUGCGGUUUAUACCGAAAACGACUGUAUAAAACCAAACCGUACCCUAAGAGCACUAUACAUAUUUUCUAGAUAUAUCAUAUUAGGUAUUAUUAAUAUUUAUUAUUGGAUUUCUUUCAGUGAAUAUUAGUUACACCCACAACUAACUAAAGUGGACUAAAGCUCUUGAAUCAUGUGCUUAAACGAGUCAAUAAAAGGAAUGAUGUGAGGUAUUACAUCCGGAUCUAUUGCUAAACGAACGCAGUUUGUUGCGUAUUUGAUUUACUACGCUUUCUUAACCGGGUUUGUUUAACCGGUUGUGUCCAUUGGUUCUGGUUUGUUGACGGAUGGGCGGGUGAUGUUAGGUGGAUAGCGACCAUAACCGUAAGGUGCUCGGUGGUGGAACCAUGGGCUGCGAUCAUAUGUGGAUUCGUUGCUGCGUGUAUGUUGACAAGGUGUAACAAAUUGGCUGAAAAGUACAAGUACGACGACCCAUUGGAAGCCGCUCAGCUCCAUGGGGGUUGCGGGGCGUGGGGGGAUUAUAUUCACGGCCUUAUUCGCUAAGGAGAAGUAUGCUAACAAGGUUUACCCGGGGAAACCGGGUCGGCCUUACGGGCUAUUUAUGGGAGGAGGGGGGAAACUGUCGGGUGCACAUGUGGUCCAGAUUUUGGUGAUAUAUGGGUUCGUGAGUGCUACCAUGGGUCCAUUAUUUUUCAUUCUACACAAGCUUAAGUUGUACGGAUCUCGCCUGAAGAUGAAACCGCGGGUAUGGAUAUGACGAGACAUGGUGGUUUUGCGUAUGUUUACCAUGAUGAAGAUGGUAUUCCGAUGAAGAAGAUUGAAUCGGCUUCUUCAAGUUGAUUAGUAAUUAAACAUGUUUGCCGUUAUGUUUCGUCCAAAAUACUUGCUUGCUAUUGUUAUUGGUUUUGCCUAGUGGUAUUUAGACUUUGUUUACGUACAAAAUUUGAUUACAUAGUUUUUAUAGAUUGGCUGUUGUCAUGUGACUCGAUGACAAUGCUAAAUGUAAAUAUAAAUUUAGCUCCCGCGAUGCGGCGGGUUACAUUUCUAGUUUUUUUCUAAAAAUGUUCACACGUUUUUUUA